AGAGUUGAUCCUGGCUCAGGAUGAACGCUGGCGGCGUGCCUAAUACAUGCAAGUCGAGCGAACAGAUGAGAAGCUUGCUUCUCUGAUGUUAGCGGCGGACGGGUGAGUAACACGUGGGCAACCUACCUAUAAGACUGGGAUAACUCCGGGAAACCGGGGCUAAUACCGGAUAAUAUAUUGAACCGCAUGGUUCAAUGUUGAAAGACGGUUUCGGCUGUCACUUAUAGAUGGACCCGCGCCGUAUUAGCUAGUUGGUAAGGUAACGGCUUACCAAGGCAACGAUACGUAGCCGACCUGAGAGGGUGAUCGGCCACACUGGAACUGAGACACGGUCCAGACUCCUACGGGAGGCAGCAGUAGGGAAUCUUCCGCAAUGGGCGAAAGCCUGACGGAGCAACGCCGCGUGAGUGAUGAAGGUCUUAGGAUCGUAAAACUCUGUUGUUAGGGAAGAACAAAUUUGUUAGUAACUGAACAAGUCUUGACA
RNAcentral lists this ribosomal RNA (484 nucleotides) under uncultured Staphylococcus sp. RNAcentral's name for it is "bacterial SSU rRNA". It matches the Rfam family "Bacterial small subunit ribosomal RNA", at positions 8 to 474 of the family's 1533-position model. Lineage: Bacteria; Bacillati; Bacillota; Bacilli; Caryophanales; Staphylococcaceae. The record is from RNAcentral.